AAGCCAAACGAGCGUAAUUUUAUGAGUUGUGAGUCGCGAAAUUUCUGUCGCGUAAUUUCUGCUGCAUUCGGUUUCAUACAAAAAUGCAGUUUUUACCACACGACGACGCAAAAUGAGUUGUCUGCCGACUCACGCGCAUAAACUCGACCGAAUUUCUGUCGGGGCGAGGGAGGGGUGCUGCGGAGAGCGGUCAGCGGGGCCAGUUCGUUACGGGAUGUGUAGGAGUCGACACGUUUCUCGCUCGCAAAAAUGUUCGACACGGAAAAAUUGAUUGUUGAAGUUGAACAACGGCCAUGUCUAUGGAAUUUGUCAGAAAAGUCAUAUAGUGACAAGUUUUUGAAACAGAAAGCAUGGCAAGAGGUUGCUGAGAAUUGUUUUGAAGAAUGGAACAAUUUGAACAACGAAGACAAAGAAAUGAAAAUACAAUUUCUGCUAAAAAAAUGGAAAGCCGUAAGAGAUUACUACAUGCGUGAAAAAAAAAGAAAACGAUGAAAGAAGUGGUAGCGCAGCAAAGAAGAAGAAAGUUUGCCCGUAUUUUGAUUUAUUGCAGUUUCUAAAAGUUACCAAACUGUCAAGGAACUCAUUUUCAAAUGUAACUUCUGAAAACACUGAUAACGAUGACAGUAAUAUAACUGGCAACAAUGACGAUGAAGAUCUUGAUGAACAAUUCAGAUCCACAGAAGCGGACUCACCACUGUAUCAACCGUCUACUAGCCAGCCAGCGUCAAUGCAAACACCUGUGUACCAAAACCAGCCGUCGACGUCAAAGCAGACAGUGUCAUCGCAACCAUCUGUAUCCGGAACCAAAAAUAAAAAACAAACACUGACACUGUUUCAAGAAUCUCUUCUCAAAAAGUUGAAUAAUGAUGAUAAGGAUCCUAAUCGAUAUUUUUUAUUAUCUUUUUUGCCGGAGAUGUCCAAAAUGACAGAGAAACAGAAUUUCGAAUUUCGCAUGGAAGUUAUGAAAGCAUUAAAUAAAGUCAAGUAUCAAAUUCCAGAACAGCACACACAAUCAAACUGGCCUCAUUUUUCAUCACCCUUUUCCGAUUCCCACAGCAACAGCAGUAAUCAAUACUACCCGACACCAGUAAAUAGAGGAUACACAACACAGGCCAAUGAAUAUCACUCCAAUGAAACAAAUGAAUAUGAUGAAACAUAGAACACUGUGCAGCUUGUUUGUUAAUCUUUAUACUUAAGUAAAAUAAUAAUUAAAAUACUUUAAAACUUACUUGAGUGUUAUUAUUAAUCUUUCCUCUGGGCUGAUGGCUAGUCUCAUAUUUGUGUCCGAUUUAGUAAUAAAAGGUUUUAUGUGAUGUAAUAAUUCUUGAAAAACAUGUAAUGGCAUAUGGUAGUAGUUUUUAAACAUAUCUGGAUUUGCACAUACACGUUCAUAUAAUAUAUGGAACUGUCCACAUAUCAGCCUCUCACUAUUGAGUGGGUUUACCCAGCUUCUUUUUCUGGUAUCAUCUUCUGAAUAAGUAUCUUCUGAAUAUGCUUCAUAAAUACACAAUAUUUUCAAUGGAUCCAUCGCACUUGACAACACAAACACCCUGUACCAACGCUCGGUAGUAACUGAAUAAAUUACGUCCGUCUG
Helicoverpa zea (corn earworm) is the source of this 1594-nucleotide long non-coding RNA. RefSeq lists it as uncharacterized. Lineage: Eukaryota; Metazoa; Arthropoda; Insecta; Lepidoptera; Noctuidae. The record is from RefSeq and is a predicted model, not a curated record. The transcript has 2 exons.